AUGGCCUGGGCCCCUCUGCUCCUCGCGCUGCUCACGUACUGCUCGGGUUCUCUCGCCCAGUACGUGCUGACUCAGCCGCCUUCAGUGUCUGUGUCUCCAGAGCAAAAUGCUCAACUGACCUGUUCAGGAAACAACAUUGGUAGCAAGAGUGUGCACUGGUACCAACAGAAACCUGGCAGUGCCCCCGUACUCGUUAUACAUAGUGAUAGCAGCAGACCCUCCGGAAUCCCUGAUCAAUUCUCUGGGGCCAACUCCGGUAACACGGCCACGUUAACCAUCACUGGAGUCCAGGCGCAGGACGAGGCUGAUUAUUACUGUCAGGUGUAG
Non-coding RNA from Malaclemys terrapin pileata, 327 nucleotides. Lineage: Eukaryota; Metazoa; Chordata; Testudines; Emydidae. The record is from the annotation of a RefSeq genome assembly.